UACGGGGGGGGCAAGCGUUGUUCGGAAUUACUGGGCGUAAAGGGCUCGUAGGCGGCCAGCUAAGUCAGACGUGAAAUCCCUCGGCUUAACCGGGGAACUGCGUCUGAUACUGGAUGGCUUGAGUGUGGGAGAGGGAUGCGGAAUUCCAGGUGUAGCGGUGAAAUGCGUAGAUAUCUGGAGGAACACCGGUGGCGAAGGCGGCAUCCUGGACCAUUACUGACGCUGAUGAGCGAAAGCCAGGGGAGCAAACGGG
This 253-nucleotide ribosomal RNA is filed under the name uncultured bacterium. RNAcentral describes it as "partial 16S ribosomal RNA". It matches the Rfam family "Bacterial small subunit ribosomal RNA", at positions 524 to 776 of the family's 1533-position model. The record is from RNAcentral.